RNAcentral lists this long non-coding RNA (277 nucleotides) under Mytilus galloprovincialis (Mediterranean mussel). The record is from RNAcentral. Lineage: Eukaryota; Metazoa; Mollusca; Bivalvia; Mytilida; Mytilidae.
UGUACAUAAGUGUCCCGUAUUUGUGUAGGCUCUUCCAUCAACCUUCCUGUCGAUUUUUAUCCAACUAGUUCAAACCAGUUUAAUUUCGCAAAGUUGUAUUUCUAAAAUUCAAAAUUGAAACAGAAAUUAACAAAUUAAUUUAUUAACUAAAACAAUAUUUGUGUCACAAUAUAACAGAAAAGUUAUAUUACAACAGUCUUUUCCUUUGAGGUCAAUUUCUGACACGCACAUUUUCAAGUCAGUUGUCAAUGGCGGUGGACGCACAAGGAGAAUCGGG